This 253-nucleotide ribosomal RNA is filed under the name uncultured bacterium. Its description in RNAcentral is "partial 16S ribosomal RNA". It matches the Rfam family "Bacterial small subunit ribosomal RNA", at positions 524 to 776 of the family's 1533-position model. The record is from RNAcentral.
UACGCAGGUGGCGAGCGUUGUCCGGAUUUACUGGGCGUAAAGGGAGCGUAGGCGGACUUUUAAGUGAGAUGUGAAAUACUCGGGCUCAACUUGAGUGCUGCAUUUCAAACUGGAAGUCUAGAGUGCAGGAGAGGAGAAUGGAAUUCCUAGUGUAGCGGUGAAAUGCGUGGAGAUUAGGAAGAACACCAGUGGCGAAGGCGAUUCUCUGGACUGUAGCUGACGCUGAGGCUCGAAAGCGUGGGGAGCAAACAGG